GUUUCUGCUGUUGGGACCUUGUUCCAGUUCUCAACCACUAUUGCUGUCCUUCUGAAGUUGGUGCUCCUGGCUGUGGGCAAACAUGGUUCCUGCUCACCUGCAGCCUUCUUCCUGCCCUGUGCUGUGUGUGUCCAGCAUCUGGCUGCUCAUCAAACAGGACUGGGAGCAACACCGUCCCAAAUGGAAUCUGCUCCGUGACUCACGAAUCAAAGUGGAACGAAGCGCUCAGAAGCAGGAUAGCAGCGCUGCCACCAACUGCAGUGCCUCCCCCUGGCUCCCUUCUGUCCCACAUUGGGUGGCCCAGCAUGGUAUGCAGAAGCAGUGCUCCAACAGGAAGGGGAGUAGCUGUGUGGGGACAUAAAGGAGAGCAGCAGUGAUGGCUGUACGCGUGCAGAUGUGUGCAGUGAUGUGCCUGCUGCGUGCAGAGGCACAAACAGGGUGUUUUAAAUCCUCCCUGUCGCCUGGACAUUAAAAAGCUUUAAAAAAAGGAAGAUGAAAAUGAAUGCUUCUGCGGUUUCCUCCGCACUCAUUGAAUUUCUGUCCAUAGCGUUUACAGACUUUAAGAGGAGCCUGCAUAAUUACCUUUUCUCGUGAUGUUUUUUUUUUUCUCCUC
Molecule: long non-coding RNA, 613 nt
Organism: Lagopus leucura (white-tailed ptarmigan)
Lineage: Eukaryota; Metazoa; Chordata; Aves; Galliformes; Phasianidae
Exons: 4
Source: RefSeq, a predicted model, not a curated record